Long non-coding RNA from Ctenopharyngodon idella (grass carp), 2903 nucleotides. RefSeq lists it as uncharacterized. The transcript is spliced from 4 exons. The record is from RefSeq and is a predicted model, not a curated record. Lineage: Eukaryota; Metazoa; Chordata; Actinopteri; Cypriniformes; Xenocyprididae.
CCAUAAGAAAUGAAUGGGAAAUACGAAAACAUACGAAAACUCUGAGAAUCUUUUGGUGGUACAAACUACAAAUCAACCACUGUGCAGAAAAAAGUGCACAUCAAUGAAGGGGUGACGCUCUAAAAUGUCAAGAGUGCAAAACAGACACACCCAACCCACACUAGUGUGACUAUAAAACAGAGCAAGUUUUUGCAAAUGUGAAAUAAUCAAGAAUUCAGCCACUAUGCAGGAAAAAACAGCAAGUAAGAAGUUUACACACGCACACAAAUGAACUGGUGUGGCUGUAACAAUUAUGGUAACACUGAGCCAAAAGACUCAAAUAAGAGGUUGAAAUCAGAUCUGAUUCUGACUCAGAUUGAUUGAUGUAACCCAGGUAACCCAGGCUACCAGUAAAGAGAAAAAAAGUUAAGAAAAGGAAAAAAAAAAUUCUAGAAGAAAAAGAGAUUCAUCCAAUCACUGAUCGAGCUGCAGUGAGAGACACCCCUAAGAGCCAAUAAUAGCGGCGCAUUCAUAAGUCCCGCCCACUGGUCGCGCCGGCGCUGCUUUCAGCGUGAGCAUAUGAGAGAGAGUCAGAGCAGAUCAAAUCCAUUUAUCUAACUGGAAAUGUGAUUGAAUGAGUGCAUUGAAAGCUGAACUUUUGAAGUCGAUGCGUCAGCCUGAAGUGAUGUCGUCGGAGAGAGAGAAGAGAAGAGAGAGACGGAGCGGAUCCCGGAGUGUUGAACUACCCAAAGGAAAAGGACAGUGAUUCCCAAACCACAGAGAAAUGUUGCCCGAAAGGCUGUUGAUGAGUAUCAAGCACAAGCCCUUGACAGAGACUCAGAAGAGGCUGAAAAAAAUGGAGGAAAACGAAAAAUUGAGAAAUGACAACAAAAAAAGCUACCAAAUCUGAUAAAUGAAGUGAAGAUGGCCCUGAAGUCUCAGUGUUCGUCAGCAUCAGUCUGCUCUAACUUGGAAGAUGGGACAGGAUUUGCCACAGAGUAAUUACAGAGCCCUUCUAACAGAACAGGAGCAACGUUGCAGAAAGUGUCCUCAUGUGGUGCCCGCCAGCAUUGGUCAGGGCUCAACGCUAAGGAUUUUUUCCCUACUGGGCCAGUGGUUCAAAUUUUUACUUGCCCCGCCAAAAUUUUCACUUGCCCCACAACAAAAAUUUAAUAAGAAAGAAAAGAAAAAAGAAAAGAAAAUGAGCCUAUAAAAUAAGCCUAGUUAUUGUUUUUUGUUGUUUUUGAUACAUGUAACCUUAAUUAAUAAAUAGGGUUAUAAUAACAAAAACUACUAGAUUAACUCACUUAAAUUUUAAAUAUUGUUAGACAAAUAAACAGUAAGUAAUAAAAUAGUAACAAAUAAUCAAAUUAUGAGUAAUAGCAAAAAUAAAUACAACAGAACGAACAUAUAAAUGAAAUAAAUGGCGCUUUUCAAGUUUUUCAUGUAGGUUUAAACAGGAGAUUUUCAGGUACAGAAAUUGUAAUCGAAUGUAUAACUAACUAUAUAACUAUAGAUUAAACUUUAUUAAAGUUAAUCAGUCAACAGCUGUUACAGAUGAAUAAAUAAUGUUUUGAAAUGUUGAAAAUAUAAAAUGUUAAAUACUGUUACUCGAAAUUAUUUAAAAAAAUGAACAGACAUAUUAAACGUGAAAUUAAACCCGCCAGUAGGUGGCAGCGAAUCACUGUUAAUGAGCGAGUCAUUGCGAUUCAACUGAUUCAUUCAAACGGCUGAUUCAUUCAGGAAGUGUUGCUCAGAGACGCAAAACAAUUCUGUGUGGACUUUGUUUGGAACUAUUUUCGUGGGUGAAAUAGAGCGAAACAGGCGAUUUGGUGUUUAAAAUGUAAGUCACUUGAUAUUAAGUUAUUGUUCAUUAAACUGUACGUUGUAUAAAAUCAAUAUCACAUUUGUAAUCGUGCCGAUAUUUAGAGAACAAAGGCGCUCUUUGUUUAAUAUUGGUUAACUAUAUUAAAUGAUAUAAUAUGAAAGAUAUACAGGGUCAUUUUUGCCCCUUAUCUUGAAUUCUGGGGCAUUCUAAAGGCAUUUCAGUAGACUAAAUCACGCCGUGAAAGCGUGCACUCUAAAUAUGCACGCGCACUACUGGACUACGUCACGUAGUGUGUGCGUGCACUCAAUGGGUGUGUUUUUGUUUGUUUUUUGUAAAGUGAGGGACAUACUCGAUAAUUUCAUAUCGUUAAAUCAACAAUUACGAUAUCAUAGACGAUAUAUAUCGCACACCCUACAGCACUGGCCCGAUCGGGCAAGUGACAGUUCUGCCUACUGUCUGAGCGUCGUUCACACUGGCCCCGGGCCAUCGGGCAGUCCUUAUUGUCGAGCCCUGAUUGGUGCAACCAUCAAUGCCAAACUUACUGAAAUUAGGGGGAAGAAAACCUUAAUGGUCUUUGAUGAUUGAUAGCCAUGACAGUGUGUUCGAGGUAUUUUGUUGUUGUUGGUGUGAGUGUGUGUGUGUUUUGCUUUCGCAAAGUUCAAAAGUUCAGUUUGAUAUCAAGUUGUAAUUCUAAAUUACUCUUGUGGAGUGUAAUUUGAUUGUAUCUUUUUGAUUGUGUUGAAAUAAAAGUAUUUCUGAUGCAAAUUUGUGCAAGUAAUUGACUGAAAUCAUAUAUGAUUUGUAUGUGCAGAGAUAUUGUAAUAUUGACUGAAAUCAUACAAGAUAAUUAUAUGUAGAGAUAUAAUAAUGUUGUAAAAUGAGGAAUUAGAUGGAAACAUAUAAAGCUUGAAGAACAGGCACACAAUUUCCCUAUUAAAAACAUAAAAUCUGUAUAAAAUUCAUAUGAACAAAUGAUGCAAAAUUUAAAUAAAUCCUAUAUGACUUGCAUAUGAUUCAAUCAAGAAUUUUAAAUUAUUUGUAUAGGAAUUUACUGAUAUUCAUACACAUUUUCUACUAAAAUCAUAUACCAUUGCAU